GAGUCCUCUGGUAAGUAUUUUGUAGUUGCUAUUCCUAGAUUAGAGCCGAUCUAGUCCAGUGAGUGAAGGGAAAGGGUUUAGGUUUGAAUUCUGAGAGGUUGGAUUAAGAGUUGUGGAAGAGUUUCAGAUAGAUCUGAGGAAGAAAAUUAGAGAAUGAAGAAGGAGUAUUUAGAGAAGUGAGGUGAUCCGGGAGAUAGAUUUGAGGGGG
RNAcentral lists this long non-coding RNA (208 nucleotides) under Elaeis guineensis (African oil palm). RNAcentral's name for it is "long non-coding RNA (EGUI_LNC040249)". The record is from RNAcentral. Lineage: Eukaryota; Viridiplantae; Streptophyta; Magnoliopsida; Arecales; Arecaceae.